Molecule: long non-coding RNA, 367 nt
Filed under: Mytilus galloprovincialis (Mediterranean mussel)
Lineage: Eukaryota; Metazoa; Mollusca; Bivalvia; Mytilida; Mytilidae
Source: RNAcentral
AAAAAUAGUUAAUUCCACUACGCGAUUGAAUGAUUUUGACGUUUGUGGUUCAACGUAUAUUGUAAUUCAUAAUAGAAAUAUAUCAUAAUGACAUAUAAUAGAACAAUAUCAUACUGACGGGAUCUUUUUAAAGUACAGAGUCACGUUAUAAGAACAAAAGAAAUACAAAAAGUCGCAAAUACAAAACAAACCACAAAAAAAUGAAAGCCAAUACAAACACAUUGACGAGAUGUAUAAGUACCGAGCCACGUGAAACGGAUAUCACAUGAAACCAUUCAACAGUAAAAGUAAUAUUAAUAAUAGAACAAAGACAAAUGAAAGAACUAUAAAACACGUUGUUAAGAUGAUAAACAACAUCAGUACGAAG